ACCCAGCUGACGAGUCCCAAGUAGGACGAAACGCAUGUCCUAGAU
Non-coding RNA from Schistosoma margrebowiei, 45 nucleotides. The record is from Rfam. NCBI's taxonomy places the organism in Eukaryota, Metazoa, Platyhelminthes, Trematoda, Strigeidida, Schistosomatidae.